AUGACGGCGACUGUGCUCCUCGACCUCGAGCUCCGCCCCCGUCCGCCCACGCUCCUCGACCUCGAGCUCUGCCCUCGCCCGCCCGGGCCGCUGAGAUAUAGGGAGCAAAAGGACUUGCAUAUGGUGUUGACUGACUUGGAGAAGGCCUAUGAUAAGAUACCACGGAAUGUCAUGUGGUGGGCCUUGGAGAAACACAAAGUUCCAGCAAAGUACAUUACCCUCAUCAAGGACGUGUAUGAUAAUGUUGUGACAAGUGUUCGAACAAGCGAUGUCGACACCAAUGACUUCCCGAUUAAGAUAGGACUGCAUUAG
This 312-nucleotide ribosomal RNA is filed under the name Triticum aestivum (bread wheat). RNAcentral's name for it is "partial small subunit ribosomal RNA". Lineage: Eukaryota; Viridiplantae; Streptophyta; Magnoliopsida; Poales; Poaceae. The record is from RNAcentral.